GACGAACGCUGGCGGCGUGCUUAACACAUGCAAGUCGAGCGGUAAGGCCCUUUCGGGGGUACACGAGCGGCGAACGGGUGAGUAACACGUGGGUGACCUGCCCUUAGCUCUGGGAUAAGCCUGGGAAACUGGGUCUAAUACCGGAUAUGACUCCAUGACGCAUGUUGUGGGGUGGAAAGCCUUGUGCGGCUAGGGAUGGGCCCGCGGCCUAUCAGCUUGUUGGUGGGGUGAUGGCCACCAAGGCGACGACGGGUAGCCGGCCUGAGAGGGCGACCGGCCACACUGGGACUGAGACACGGCCCAGACUCCUACGGGAGGCAGCAGUGGGGAAUCUUGCGCAAUGGGCGAAAGCCUGACGCAGCGACGCCGCGUGAGGGAUGACGGCC
RNAcentral lists this ribosomal RNA (386 nucleotides) under uncultured bacterium. RNAcentral's name for it is "bacterial SSU rRNA". It matches the Rfam family "Bacterial small subunit ribosomal RNA", at positions 28 to 416 of the family's 1533-position model. The record is from RNAcentral.